Molecule: long non-coding RNA, 279 nt
Filed under: Eucalyptus grandis
Lineage: Eukaryota; Viridiplantae; Streptophyta; Magnoliopsida; Myrtales; Myrtaceae
Description: long non-coding RNA (EGRA_LNC007736)
Source: RNAcentral
GGGAGAUUUACCUUACUCCUACGAACCAGAGAUUUAUGAGUUCGAGGACUUGGUUAUGCUAGAUUUCUCUAACGCCCUUUCGGUACCUUUCUCUUUUAUUUCGAAAAAUGUUUGGUAGGCAGCUUGAAUUGAUUUUAAAUCUAUCUUCCUAACAUAUGAGGUGAUCGUGCGGGUGCGCAAUCCACUAAUUUAACACCCAGGUAAACAAUAAAUAAAUUGCAGAAACUUACCUCAAAGCAACGAAAUCAUCUGCAAUGUUAAAUUAAAAACCACAUCAAC